Molecule: unclassified non-coding RNA, 390 nt
Filed under: Hevea brasiliensis (rubber tree)
Lineage: Eukaryota; Viridiplantae; Streptophyta; Magnoliopsida; Malpighiales; Euphorbiaceae
Source: RNAcentral
AGGAAAGAAGCACCCUGUGAGGAAGAAGGAACGCAGCAGACUCAGCAGCAGCAAAUAGAUCAUGAUGCGAUACAAAGAGGAAAAAGAGGCAAAGAAGGAAGCUUUCAGGAAGUAUCUUGAAUCUAGUGGAGUUCUUGAUUCUCUCACCAAAGUUCUGGUUGCAUUGUAUGAGCAAAAUGAGAAACCUUCCUCUGCCCUUGAAUUUAUUCAACAAAAACUAGGCGGCCCAAGUUUGUCCGAGUAUGAAAAGCUGCAAGCUGAAAUGUCUGAUUUGCAAAUAAAGUAUAAUGAUCUUUUGUCAGCACACCAGGAAACUUGCAAAGAGUUGGAGGAACUUAAGAACUUGCAUAGUUUCACGUCUACUGAAGAAAUGACCAAUGGGGAGGCACC